AUUAGUGGCGAACGGGUGAGGAACACGUGAGAAACCUGCCUCGGAUUUUGGGAUAACAGUUGGAAACGACUGCUAAUACCGAAUGACGUCGGAGAACCGCAUGGUUCACUGACGAAAGGAAUUCCGAUUCGAGAGGGUCUCGCGGCCUAUCAGCUAGUUGGCGGGGUAAUGGCCCACCAAGGCAACGACGGGUAGCUGGUCUGAGAGGAUGGUCAGCCACACUGGGACUGAGACACGGCCCAGACUCC
This 248-nucleotide ribosomal RNA is filed under the name uncultured bacterium. RNAcentral's name for it is "partial 16S ribosomal RNA". It matches the Rfam family "Bacterial small subunit ribosomal RNA", at positions 91 to 339 of the family's 1533-position model. The record is from RNAcentral.